AAUCAACGCUGGCGGCGUGCCUCAGACAUGCAAGUCGAACGAUUAAAGCUCUCUUUGGAGAGUGUAUAGAGUGGCGCACGGGUGAGUAACACGUAAGUAAUCUACCUUCGAGUGGGGAAGUAACCCGGGGAACCCGAGACUAAUACCGCAUAAUGCAGCGGCAUCUAAUGAUGACAGUUAGUUAAAGUAUUUAUCGUCUUGAAGAGGAGCUUGCGGCGAGAUUAGCUAGUUGGUAAGGUAAUAGGCUUACCAA
Molecule: ribosomal RNA, 253 nt
Filed under: uncultured bacterium
Lineage: Bacteria
Description: partial 16S ribosomal RNA
Rfam family: Bacterial small subunit ribosomal RNA
Source: RNAcentral